UCUACACUUUGUGUUGUGUUGUCGGCAGACAGGAUGAAAUAACAUCACUGGCCGGAUAUGGCCCGCGGGCCGUAGUUUUUGCAUCACUGGUUUAUGACUUUAUCGAGAAUUUCCUGAAGCAUAAGUUCUCAAUACCCAAUUACGUUGAUGGGAGUGUCUCUUAAAAUAGCGAUCCACAGUCACGAGACAAAGUUUUCUAGGAAAUGAAUCCCAUCCGUUACGAAUGAAAGAAGUCAACAACAUUUAAGUGUUUGGCGAGGUUAGAAAGUUAACGUCUACUUUCAAACUAUCUCCAUCACCAAGUUAAACUAUACACCAACUAAGUCUGCCAAGGAAUAGAGGAGCCCCCAGCCAUUCAGCAAGCCCUAUCAUCUCAUUCACUCUUCCAAUCAAGUGCACAUCCUUGACAAGCAAGCUGUGUUUAGCUCCAUUAACAGCCACAGCCGUGUUUAGCUCCAUUAACAGCCACAGCCGUGUUGAGCUCCAUUAACAGCCACAGCCGUGUUUAGCUCCAUUAACAGCCACAGCCGUGUUGAGCUCCAUUAACAGCCACAGCCGUGUUGAGCUCCAUUAACAGCCACAGCCGUGUUUAGCUCCAUUAACAGCCACAACCGUGUUUAGCUCCAUUAACAUCCACAUCCGUGUUUAGCUCCAUUAACAGCCACAGCCGUGUUGAGCUCCAUUUACAGCCACAGCCGUGUUUAGCUCCAUUAACAGCCACAGUCGUGAUGAGCUUAAGUUCAUAGAGGGCGUACAGUCCACUGUGAGUCUGGCAGUAGGACAUGCAUGCGCCCUUCGAAGCCUCGCAAUUCUAGAUCUUCUAGCAGCAGAUCUGUGUCCGAUGUUAAGCAGAAGAUUUGCAAGGGGAGUAACUAUCACUCCAGCAAGUCUUCAACAAACAGAGUUGGAGCCCAUAGCGCGCCGUUACAAAAUAAACAGUUUUCUUUUGGGAUCAUCUAAGUCCAAUAACUUUGCCACAACUUUGUUUAACACUGCAGACCCAAAACUUGUUGUGAAUGGAGGAAAAUUACCUUCCAGAACCUAUGUUUACCCCACUGCCAGAAGUUCUCUCUUUCAAUACCCAGAAAGCUAGGGAAAAUACCCAAGACCUGGAUGGGGGAUUAGGAAAACGUCUGUUGACCUUGACAUACAGGAAGAAGAUAACUCAUUCAGAAUAGGUAUUUAAUCUAGGGCUUUCAACUACUCGGAAGAAGAUCUUUGAACACCAACAAAUUACAACCCAAAAAAGAGCAUUAGUUUCAUUUGUUAUUGAAACUAUUUUUGUGUGAACUAGACUUAAUAUUUAUACAACUUGCAAGGUUUGUUUUUAUAAUGUUCAUGUGUACAUGAUGAAAUGUUUAUGUAUGAUGUUUACUUUAUCUAAUGUUUGUAAUAUUUGUUUCCAUUCAAUUAAAAGCGACAUUUUA
Biomphalaria glabrata is the source of this 1427-nucleotide long non-coding RNA. RefSeq lists it as uncharacterized. The record is from RefSeq and is a predicted model, not a curated record. Lineage: Eukaryota; Metazoa; Mollusca; Gastropoda; Planorbidae. The transcript has 2 exons.